RNAcentral lists this ribosomal RNA (325 nucleotides) under uncultured eukaryote. Its description in RNAcentral is "partial 18S ribosomal RNA". It matches the Rfam family "Eukaryotic small subunit ribosomal RNA", at positions 1470 to 1796 of the family's 1831-position model. The record is from RNAcentral.
CCCUUAGAUGUUCUGGGCCGCACGCGCGCUACACUGAUGCAUUCAACGAGCUUUACCUUGGCCGAGAGGCCUGGGCAAUCUUUUAAACCUGCAUCGUGAUAGGGAUAGAUUAUUGCAAUUAUUAAUCUUGAACGAGGAAUUCCUAGUAAACGCAAAUCAUCAAUUUGCAUUGAUUACGUCCCUGCCCUUUGUACACACCGCCCGUCGCACCUACCGAUUGAAUGGUCCGGUGAAGCCUCGGGAUUGUGGCCAGUUCACUUUAUUGGGAGUUGGCUGUGAGAACUUGUCUAAACCUUAUCAUUUAGAGGAAGGUGAAGUCGUAACA